RNAcentral lists this ribosomal RNA (453 nucleotides) under uncultured Barnesiella sp. RNAcentral describes it as "bacterial SSU rRNA". It matches the Rfam family "Bacterial small subunit ribosomal RNA", at positions 341 to 792 of the family's 1533-position model. The record is from RNAcentral. Lineage: Bacteria; Pseudomonadati; Bacteroidota; Bacteroidia; Bacteroidales; Barnesiellaceae.
ACGGAAGGCAGCAGUGAGGAAUAUUGGUCAAUGGACGCAGGUCUGAACCAGCCAAGUCGCGUGAGGGAUGGCGGUCCUAUGGAUUGUAAACCUCUUUUGUCGGGGAGUAACGUGCGGUACGUGUACCGUAUUGAGAGUACCCGAAGAAAAAGCAUCGGCUAACUCCGUGCCAGCAGCCGCGGUAAUACGGGGGAUGCGGGCGUUAUCCGGAUUUAUUGGGUUUAAAGGGUGCGCAGGCGGCGCGUCAAGUCAGCGGUAAAAUGGCGGUGCUCAACGCCGGCCGGCCGUUGAAACUGUCGUGCUCGAGUUCGUGCGAGGAGAGCGGAAUGCGUGGUGUAGCGGUGAAAUGCAUAGAUAUCACGCAGGACGCCGAUUGCGAAGGCAGCCCUCCAGCACUGGACUGACGCUGAAGCACGAAAGCGUGGGUAUCGAACAGGAUUAGAUACCCUGGUA